Molecule: ribosomal RNA, 375 nt
Filed under: uncultured eukaryote
Lineage: Eukaryota
Description: partial 18S ribosomal RNA
Rfam family: Eukaryotic small subunit ribosomal RNA
Source: RNAcentral
CAAUAGCGUAUAUUUAAGUUGUUGCAGUUAAAAAGCUAGUAGUUGGAUUUCGGUUAAGAGCGACCGGUCCGCCGUUUGGUGUGCACUGGUUGGUUUUAACUUCCUGUAGAGGACGUGCUCUGGGUUUAACGACCUGGACUCGGAGUCUACGUGGUUACUUUGAAAAAAUUAGAGUGUUCAAAGCGGGCUUACGCUUGAAUAUUUCAGCAUGGAAUAACACUAUAGGACUCCUGUCCUAUUUCGUUGGUCUCGGGACGGGAGUAAUGAUUAAGAGGAACAGUUGGGGGCAUUCGUAUUUCAUUGUCAGAGGUGAAAUUCUUGGAUUUAUGAAAGACGAACUUCUGCGAAAGCAUUUGCCAAGGAUGUUUNCAUUAA